CAGGGGAAAAUAAUGAUGGUACCCUGCGAAUAAGCCACGGCUAACUCUGUGCCAGCAGCCGCGGUAAGACAGAGGUGGCAAGCGUUGUUCGGAAUUACUGGGCUUAAAGGGCGCGUAGGCGGUGAGAUAAGUCUGAGGUGAAAUCCUAUGGCUUAACCAUAGAACUGCCUUGGAAACUGUUUUACUUGAGUCAGCGAGGGGAUGGUGGAAUUCCCGGUGUAGCAGUGAAAUGCGUAGAUAUCGGGAGGAAGGCCGGUGGCGAAGGCGGCCAUCUGGCGCUGAACUGACGCUGAGGCGCGAAAGCGUGGGUAGCAAACAGGAUUAGAUACCCUGGUAGUCCACGCCCUAAACGGUGGGUAUUAGGUGUAGGGCUCGUAAGGGUUCUGUGCCGUAGGGAAACCAUUAAAUACCCCGCCUGGGGAGUACGGCCGCAAGGUUGAAACUCAAAGAAAUUGACGGGGGCCCGCACAAGCGGUGGAGCAUGUGGUUUAAUUCGACGCUACGCGAAGAACCUUACCUGGGCUUGACAUGUUAGUAGUAGUGAACCGAAAGGGGAAUGAUUCCCGCAAGGGAAAGCUAACACAGGUGCUGCAUGGCUGUCGUCAGCUCGUGUCGUGAGAUGUUGGGUUAAGUCCCGCAACGAGCGCAACCCUUAUCCUCUGUUGCCACGCAAGUGGCUCUCUGAGGAAACUGCCGACGAUGAGUUGGAGGAAGGUGGGGAUGACGUCAAGUCCUCAUGGCCCUUAUGUCCAGGGCUACACACGUGCUACAAUGGGUGCUACAGAGGGAAGCAAGACCGCGAGGUGGAGCCAAUCCCUAAAGGCAUUCAUAGUUGGGAUCGGAGUCUGCAACUCGACUCCGUGAACGUGGAAUCGCUAGUAAUCGUGGAUCAGCUACGCCACGGUGAAUACGUUCCCGGGCCUUGUACACACCGCCCGUCACACCACGAAAGCCUGUUGUACCCAAAGCUGGUGAGCUAACCCGCAAGGGAGGCAGCCAUUUAAGGUAUGGCCGGUGAUUGGGGUGAAGUCGUAACAAGGUAGCCGUAGGGGAACCUGCGGCUGGAUCACCUCCUUU
RNAcentral lists this ribosomal RNA (1077 nucleotides) under Anaerolineales bacterium. RNAcentral's name for it is "bacterial SSU rRNA". It matches the Rfam family "Bacterial small subunit ribosomal RNA", at positions 439 to 1533 of the family's 1533-position model. The record is from RNAcentral. Lineage: Bacteria; Bacillati; Chloroflexota; Anaerolineae; Anaerolineales.